Molecule: long non-coding RNA, 745 nt
Organism: Pseudophryne corroboree (corroboree frog)
Lineage: Eukaryota; Metazoa; Chordata; Amphibia; Anura; Myobatrachidae
Exons: 6
Source: RefSeq, a predicted model, not a curated record
AACUCUUCAACACAGAAUACAGGACAGACCAUGAUGAUAUGUCUUCAGCAAGGUCCUCAAGUCCAACAAGUGCGGUGUAAGAUGUCGGGGAUGUCUGAAACAUGGACAGGCAUUGAGAAAGAAAACACAAUCACAGUUUCAGUCACCAGAAGAGCCAAUCAUUAACAACAACGGAGAAGCACAUCUAACACAAAGCUCUUGCAUAGAAAUUACCUUCUGAAGGUGAUAGCCAAUCAAAGGGAGAACACAGAGACGUCAUCACCAACUGCCGGCCCCAGCCAGAUGCAACUGGACCCUUGCUAUGGAAACUUGCAGUGGAAGCAGUGACCACAGUCUGGAACACACGGCUUCCGCUGGAAUGCACAUUUAUUACCUGGAUUUUGUGCAAAAGGGGUUCCAACAGGCCGGCAAAGCAGUCAACCUCUGUCUUUUGAUUCCAGACCGCUGUAAAAUCCCUAAGAGGGAAAAUCAUCAAUCACUCGUGCCAGACUGAAGAAACACAUCCCGAGAAUGAUGAAAAUGAAAGCAAGGAGGAAAUAUUGUACUUCAUAUGGGAACUGACUCACUGACCCGACUACAUAAAAACUUCCGUAUUAUCCUACUUGUCUGUUACAUCUAAUUAGUUACCUAUUUGCGGUAUUUCAUUUUUUGCUAAUCUAGUCAUUAAUAACCCUGCGCGGCUACUGAAUCUGCAUAUAAAGUAAACAGCUUGAAUAACCAUAAACGCUAUUAGAAUAAUUUACAA